This 1479-nucleotide ribosomal RNA is filed under the name Staphylococcus aureus. RNAcentral describes it as "bacterial SSU rRNA". It matches the Rfam family "Bacterial small subunit ribosomal RNA". Lineage: Bacteria; Bacillati; Bacillota; Bacilli; Caryophanales; Staphylococcaceae. The record is from RNAcentral.
AAGUAUAAAGAGAGAGAUUUGACACGUCAGAUGACGCUGGCGGCGUGCCUAAUACAUGCAAGUCGAGCGAACGGACGAGAAGCUUGCUUCUCUGAUGUUAGCGGCGGACGGGUGAGUAACACGUGGAUAACCUACCUAUAAGACUGGGAUAACUUCGGGAAACCGGAGCUAAUACCGGAUAAUAUUUUGAACCGCAUGGUUCAAAAGUGAAAGACGGUCUUGCUGUCACUUAUAGAUGGAUCCGCGCUGCAUUAGCUAGUUGGUAAGGUAACGGCUUACCAAGGCAACGAUGCAUAGCCGACCUGAGAGGGUGAUCGGCCACACUGGAACUGAGACACGGUCCAGACUCCUACGGGAGGCAGCAGUAGGGAAUCUUCCGCAAUGGGCGAAAGCCUGACGGAGCAACGCCGCGUGAGUGAUGAAGGUCUUCGGAUCGUAAAACUCUGUUAUUAGGGAAGAACAUAUGUGUAAGUAACUGUGCACAUCUUGACGGUACCUAAUCAGAAAGCCACGGCUAACUACGUGCCAGCAGCCGCGGUAAUACGUAGGUGGCAAGCGUUAUCCGGAAUUAUUGGGCGUAAAGCGCGCGUAGGCGGUUUUUUAAGUCUGAUGUGAAAGCCCACGGCUCAACCGUGGAGGGUCAUUGGAAACUGGAAAACUUGAGUGCAGAAGAGGAAAGUGGAAUUCCAUGUGUAGCGGUGAAAUGCGCAGAGAUAUGGAGGAACACCAGUGGCGAAGGCGACUUUCUGGUCUGUAACUGACGCUGAUGUGCGAAAGCGUGGGGAUCAAACAGGAUUAGAUACCCUGGUAGUCCACGCCGUAACGAUGAGUGCUAAGUGUUAGGGGGUUUCCGCCCCUUAGUGCUGCAGCUAACGCAUUAAGCACUCCGCCUGGGGAGUACGACCGCAAGGUUGAAACUCAAAGGAAUUGACGGGGACCCGCACAAGCGGUGGAGCAUGUGGUUUAAUUCGAAGCAACGCGAAGAACCUUACCAAAUCUUGACAUCCUUUGACAACUCUAGAGAUAGAGCUUUCCCCUUCGGGGGACAAAGUGACAGGUGGUGCAUGGUUGUCGUCAGCUCGUGUCGUGAGAUGUUGGGUUAAGUCCCGCAACGAGCGCAACCCUUAAGCUUAGUUGCCAUCAUUAAGUUGGGCACUCUAAGUUGACUGCCGGUGACAAACCGGAGGAAGGUGGGGAUGACGUCAAAUCAUCAUGCCCCUUAUGAUUUGGGCUACACACGUGCUACAAUGGACAAUACAAAGGGCAGCGAAACCGCGAGGUCAAGCAAAUCCCAUAAAGUUGUUCUCAGUUCGGAUUGUAGUCUGCAACUCGACUACAUGAAGCUGGAAUCGCUAGUAAUCGUAGAUCAGCAUGCUACGGUGAAUACGUUCCCGGGUCUUGUACACACCGCCCGUCACACCACGAGAGUUUGUAACACCCGAAGCCGGUGGAGUAACCUUUUAGGAGCUAGCCGUCGAA